RNAcentral lists this ribosomal RNA (305 nucleotides) under uncultured bacterium. RNAcentral's name for it is "bacterial SSU rRNA". It matches the Rfam family "Bacterial small subunit ribosomal RNA", at positions 334 to 654 of the family's 1533-position model. The record is from RNAcentral.
GAUUCCUACGGGAGGCAGCAGUGGGGGAUAUUGCACAAUGGGGGAAACCCUGAUGCAGCGACGCCGCGUGGACGAAGAAGUAUUUCGGUAUGUAAAGUCCUAUCAGCAGGGAAGAAGAAAUGACGGUACCUGACUAAGAAGCCCCGGCUAACUACGUGCCAGCAGCCGCGGUAAUACGUAGGGGGCGAGCGUUAUCCGGAUUUACUGGGUGUAAAGGGAGCGUAGACGGUUCUGCAAGUCUGAAGUGAAAGCCCGUGGCUUAGCCGCGGAACGGCUUUGGAAACUGUGGAACUGGAGUGCUGGAG